Molecule: RNase P RNA, 315 nt
Filed under: Gillisia sp. Hel1_33_143
Lineage: Bacteria; Pseudomonadati; Bacteroidota; Flavobacteriia; Flavobacteriales; Flavobacteriaceae
Description: Bacterial RNase P class A
Rfam family: Bacterial RNase P class A
About the family: Ribonuclease P (RNase P) is a ubiquitous endoribonuclease, found in archaea, bacteria and eukarya as well as chloroplasts and mitochondria. Its best characterised activity is the generation of mature 5'-ends of tRNAs by cleaving the 5'-leader elements of precursor-tRNAs. Cellular RNase Ps are ribonucleoproteins.
Source: Rfam by way of RNAcentral
AAAGCAGAUCGCCUUAUCGCUGCUUCGCUUAGGUGAAGUAGAGGAAAGUCCGGACACCAUAGGGCAGCAUAGUGGGUAACGCCCACCGGUCGAAAGAUCAGGACAAGUGCAGCAGAAAGUAUGUACAGGUAAUGCUGUAGUGAAACCAGGUAAACUCUAUGCGGUGCAAUGCCAUGUAUACCAGCUUUUAAGGGCGGCUCGCUCGUUGUUGGAGGGUAGGCAGCUAAAGAUUUUUGGCAACAAAAAUUUCAGAUAAAUGAUAAGGAUCUUAGUUUUACUGAGAUACAGAAUCCGGCUUAUAGAUCUGCUUUUUUA